This 504-nucleotide ribosomal RNA is filed under the name uncultured Acidobacteriota bacterium. RNAcentral describes it as "bacterial SSU rRNA". It matches the Rfam family "Bacterial small subunit ribosomal RNA", at positions 355 to 871 of the family's 1533-position model. Lineage: Bacteria; Pseudomonadati; Acidobacteriota. The record is from RNAcentral.
UCGGGAAUUUUGCGCAAUGGACGAAAGUCUGACGCAGCAACGCCGCGUGAGGGAUGAAGGCCUUCGGGUUGUAAACCUCUUUUGUCAGGGACGAUGAUGACGGUACCUGACGAAUAAGCCACGGCUAACUACGUGCCAGCAGCCGCGGUAAUACGUAGGUGGCAAGCGUUGUCCGGAUUUACUGGGCGUAAAGAGCGCGCAGGCGGUCGUUCAAGUCGCGUGUGAAAGCCCCCGGCUCAACUGGGGAGGGUCACGCGAUACUGAUCGACUCGAAGGCAGGAGAGGGUAGUGGAAUUCCCGGUGUAGUGGUGAAAUGCGUAGAUAUCGGGAGGAACACCAGUGGCGAAGGCGACUACCUGGCCUGUUUCUUGACGCUGAGGCGCGAAAGCUAGGGGGAGCAAAACGGGAUUAGAUACCCCGGGUAGUCCCUAGCCGUAAACGAUGGACACUAGGUGUUGGUGGUAUCAACCCCGCAGUGCCGAAGCUAACGCAUUAAGUGUCCCG